AAAUAUUGAUUCCCGUACGAUCAAUGAAGUUAAGCAACAUUGAUCCUGGUUAGUACCUUGAUGGGUGACUGCUUUGGAAUACCAGGUGCUAUA
This is a non-coding RNA of Acanthosepion pharaonis, 93 nucleotides long. The record is from the annotation of a GenBank genome assembly. NCBI's taxonomy places the organism in Eukaryota, Metazoa, Mollusca, Cephalopoda, Sepiida, Sepiidae.